RNAcentral lists this ribosomal RNA (254 nucleotides) under uncultured bacterium. Its description in RNAcentral is "partial 16S ribosomal RNA". It matches the Rfam family "Bacterial small subunit ribosomal RNA", at positions 524 to 776 of the family's 1533-position model. The record is from RNAcentral.
GACGGAGGGUGCUAGCGUUGUUCGGAAUCACUGGGCGUAAAGGGCGCGUAGGCGGCUUUGGCAGUCGGUUGGUGAAAGCCCGGGGCUCAACCCCGGAGGUGCGGCCGAAACACCAAGGCUGGAGGCCGGAAGAGGAGGGUGGAAUACCCAGUGUAGAGGUGAAAUUCGUAGAUAUUGGGUGGAACACCGGUGGCGAAAGCGGCUCUCUGGUCCGGACCUGACGCUGAGGCGCGAAAGCGUGGGGAGCAAACAGG